Molecule: RNA transcript, 5758 nt
Organism: Cavia porcellus (domestic guinea pig)
Lineage: Eukaryota; Metazoa; Chordata; Mammalia; Rodentia; Caviidae
Gene name: sperm motility kinase 2B-like
Exons: 4
Source: RefSeq, a predicted model, not a curated record
CUUCCCCUGCCCCAAAUCUGGCUGGUGAAAGAGGCCCAGGCAGUGGGCUUGAUUGUUGAGACUGAGGGUCUUCAUCCAUCUUGAGCCCUAUGACCAGAGUAGUGGGGCUUGUCCUUCUUCUAUAGCUGCCCUAUAGAUUUCUGAGUACUCAGCCAGUGAGUGUCAUACUGUGUUCCCUUAGUCCCACAUUUAGGGCCUGGAAGCUUCCAAUAUAUCCUGUUGGGUUAUGCGUGUUUUACCCAAAGAUUGGUCAAAUGUGAAAUCAGUUUGGUCCCCUGGAGAUCAAGUGAGAUAGGGUAGCAAGUGUGCUCCAUUUGUUGAUUUAAGAGUCACAUGUGCCACUAGUCAGGUGCAUGCCUGUCUUGUCAUCCUGUACUGCCAGUGCUUGGCAGGCUGAUGCAGGAGGAUCACCAUGAGUUCAAAGCAACCUGAGGUAUAUAACAAGACUCUGUCUCAAAGAAACAAAUAACUGAGGGCAGCGAUGUAACUCAGGGAUAGAGUACCUGUACCAUGCACAAGGUCCUUGGCUUAGUCCCAGUACUGAAAAAAUUGUACAUGUACAUGUGUCUUCAUGAAGCCCCUCUUAUAAAUGUUACUUACUUUCCCCUGCAGCCCUUCCCUCUUGAGGGACACUGCUGGAAACUGCUACUGAUGGUGCUAACCACCUAGUGCAUCUUGGAGGUGUUGGCAUUCAGCAGCAGCCUAAAGUCAGUGCCUGUUGAGGGCUGCUCUUGGCCUGGUGUUAUGGGGACAGAACCCAGGAUCUCAUGCAUGCUGGCAAGUUGCUACCACUGAGCUACAACCCCAGGCCUGUUGGCUUGUUCCAUGUUGGUAGGACAGAAGAGCAGUGUUCAGGCUCUUCCAGACGAAUAAAGAGGAGUCCUCCCAUUUAUUGUUCUUGGUGAGUAUGUAAGAAAACCUAGAUCUUGGUGUGCGCUGUUCCUGGGAGUAGUUGCUUCUAGGCUCUUAACAGGAAUGUGUGUGUGCUUUCACAAUCCUCUGUGUGCACAUCUUUAAAUAAUUUUAUAUGUGUUCAUGCCAGUUUUUACUAAGAUAAAUAUGAAUUUAUACUGAUUGCUCUAGCUCCAUUCAAAUUCCAUAUUGUGACAUUACUUUUAAAUUUCAUUUUCUGAGUAUUCCUUGCUGCUGGAUAGGAUUUCAGUUGAUGUGGAUCCUUAUUUAACUUUCACAGUAUUUUUUUUUAAUUGGUUCUGGGGAUUGAAUGCCUGACCUCAUGCUUCCCAGUGAGGCACCUACGCCGCUGAGCUAAAUCCCCAGCUUUCAUGGUAUUUUUUGAAAUUGAACAACAUCUCAUUGCAUUUUCUUGAUUCAUGACCAUGUAGUGCAUGGUGAGGAAUGAUAUAUUUGUUUCCAAUAACUGAAUUUUAUCUCUUUUUAAUUGUUUAUUGUUUUAUACAGCAAAAACCAUAUAAUCCUAAAGGAAAGUGACCUUGAUAGGGCCCUGAGAGAAAUCACUUCUCUGCCCUAACUCCCAGACACAGUUACCACCACCCACUGCUCAAACAAGAGCAGGGAGGAUGAAAAACAGCAAAAUGGUGAUCAUCUGUCAGGAGCAUCAGUUUCAUCGUAAGACUUGAGAGAAACAGCAGUCUAUGAGGAACCAUCUCCUCUACUCAGAAACAUGGGAGAAAGAAAGCAGGUGCUGACCUCUCACCUCCCUGGUCAGCAAACACAGAGGGAUAGUGGGUCUUUCAUGCCCACAGAGUCCCCCAGAGUCAGCUGACCUGUGCAGGGCACAGCACACUCCGGGAACAAGUUCCAAAUGCCUUGGCACAUGGCCCUUUCCUGCACAAAAUGGGCUCUCCUUCCGUGCUCAGGAAUCCUGGCACCCCAGGCUGAGCAGAGCCCCAGGCAUCCAGGAUGAGGUGCAGCAGGUACAGGACUCAGGACAGAAAACACAUUGGGCAGCGCCAGGGUCCUCUGGGGAGACUUCAGGGCAGAAAAGAAGGGUGAGAGUGGGCACAGCUCAGCAUGGUGGGUGCUCUAGGUGCCAUGGCCAGAUGCUUCUUCUUAGGCAGACCCAGCCCUUCCCCUGGAGGAGGGUGCUGGGGAUCAUAGUUGACACUGGAGGAGCUCCCCCACAGCAGCCAAGGGCUUGGUGACAGUGGGGGAGGGCAGCCACUUGAGAGGGUCACUGGUGAGGCGGCUGCAGGGCAGGCUUUACCUGAGAGAGUGUCCCACCUCCCGGCAUGGCAGCUGCUCCAUAAACCCUGGGCACCAGGACCUUGUUGCAGAAGCAACUCAAAGGAAGCUGAGUGGAGAACGUGAGUGUGUUGGAUUUCAAGGACUGUGGGAGGGGUGCUUUUCUUUUCCCCCAGUUCCUGAAAACUGCCAUUGUUAUAUAAAAGAACAUUUUAAAGGGAAUAUUCCCCAAGUGUAUAAAGACUGCAGUCUCAGGCAUCAUGGCCAGGAUGGGGUAUAACCCAUGGAAGGUCACUGACUCUGCAAGUCUCAAGAAAAAUGAUCACUGAAUGACCACUGUCCUGCUGCUACAGCCCCACCUGCUCCAGGGGGGCGGGUUUCAUAUUCAAGGUAAAGCCUGCAGAUAUAGAGGAGGUGCCACCAUUCUCCACAGAUCCAAACCCCUCAUCUCUCCCUCCAAGUGGUGGCCAGUGUGCCUGCUUCUUGCACUGAACUUUUCUCCCUGGGAUGAAACCCCCAGGGAAUCAUGGUGGGAGAGGCUCCGUGUCCCCCAGUUCCCAUCUGCAGUGUGUCGUGCCCACCUAGUCCUGCUACUUCCAGAGUGUCCUGCCAGCUUGGUCCUAGGGGCUCCCACUCCAGCUCCUGCACCACCCCAGCCCCUGUCAGCAGUAGGAGGUGGGGCUGGAAGGCUGUGAAGAGGAGGAUCAGAGACUGCCUGCAGGCCAUGUGCUGCCGCCGCCUGCUAGCCUGGGAGCCAACACAAGGUGGCCCCAGUGUAAGUGCUGCACAGCAGAGAAGCAGCCCACAUUCAAGGAGGCUGAGUGCUCUGGGCACUUUCUCAAGUGCGCUGCUUGAUGAUAUCAUUUUCAAUUGUCAGGGUGUGACUGUAGGGAGGAGAUGAAGGAGGCAGGAAGGGCACGUGUGGGCAGAGGGAAGAGCCUCAGGUGGCAAGGAGGAGUUGCUGUGGGGUCUACUGCAGCCACCACCAUCUGCCAUGUUUCCUAGUGAGCGUCCAUUACACAUGUCUCCUUGCAUUUGUGGACAUGACAGUGAGGUCAGCCACACAGGUGGAAGCCAUAGUGAGUCAUCUUGCAGCCCUUCGUCUAGUGAGCUGCAGGAGAGAGGAGGGGGAGGCAAGACCACUAGUGCAUCCUGUGGGAAUGAGGGCGCACGCCCUGGGAAGGCUGUGCGGGAACCAGGAGCUGAGAUCCUGUGGGAGGAAGACGGCAGAGGAGCAGGGCGGAGAUUCACCUGCCGAACACUCUGCACCUGCCAGCAAGGCUCUCCCUCUCCUCGGCCUCCAUGCACUGCCUAUCUCCUGAAAGGGCUGGCCCUUGGCUAACCUUGCAGGAAGGGACAAAACCAGGACUCUGCUCCAAACUCAGGGCCUAGCCACACAGCCUCCUGUGUCCCAGCCUCAGUUUCCCACUUGUGGAAGCACUGGGGCUGAGGUUGGGGAUCGAGAUGUUGCUUAUUGUGCCCUUUGGCACAGCUGAGAAGGUGGCACGCCCUCUUUCUGUCCCCUGAGGAUCAGGGUGGCUAGUGCUGGGCCUGCUCCAGGUGGGGGAUGCGGGGAUGACACGGGCUGCUCUGUAGCUGCGUGGCUGCAUGGGCUGUGGCUCCAGUGGGAACCAGGAAAGGCUUGCUCUUCUGAUCUGGUUUUGAAACUGGAGACCGGAGGUGACCUGAGGGCUGUGGCCAAGUGGACCUACUGCCACUCACAUGCCAGCCACCCAGAUCCCCAGCUGCUGUCCCUGCCCAGGUGUGGACAAUGGUGAGGACAUUCCCCAGGAGACACUGAUUGGGAUCUAUGAGCGAAUCCAGCAGCAGGAGCGGAAGACAAAUGAGGACCACAUGUCCCAGCUGCCCCCAGAAGGUGAAGAAGCUGAUCGUGGGGAAGAAGCCCAUACAUGCUUGGCCCUCAGGCAUGGGGCCGCCUGCCCACCAUUCUGGCCUCUGGCAGGCAGAGCUGGCGGGGGACUCCCAGGCACUCAAAGCAGUGCCUGCAGGCUUGAGGAAUCCUGGCUGUUUGCUCUGGUUGCACUUGAGGCCCUCAGGUCCUUAGUGAUGGCCCAACUCUGCUAACUCUAGGCUCUUUCCUUAGUGAUCUGAGCCCCCUGUCCCUGACAGCGCACUACAGUGAGCUUUACACCUUGGCCACUCCCUGGUAUCCAGGCUGGUGGAGCUGAGGACCUGGCGCCCUGGCUGGGCAUUGCUGUGCACAUCUCCAAUGUCCCAAGGUGAUUGUGGACGUUAACAUCGGUCCCUGUGCUGUUUUGCCACAGAUCAGAUCACUGUAUCACCGGCUUGGCUUACUACCCCAAUAGCAUCUGGCUCACAACUGCCAUGGCCGGGGAAGACCCCAGAGUGUGAAUCACCUCCAACACCCCUACCUGCAAGCCAGAAGUUCACCAAUGACCUGUGGGAGUCUGUGGAAGAAGUGUGGGAGAUGGAGAAGCAAUGGAUAGAAGCACAGGGAGGAGAUAUCAUCCCUCAUGUCUCCUGGAUUCCCCAGGCCACCUGGGCUCCUGACUUGGCCUUUCUGUCUCUGACCGCAGGAGAGGUGCCUCUUGUCCUUUCUGGCCUCCACAGCCACUUGGAGGGACAGCAAUACCAGGACCUAUCUAGGACUCCACAUUGUGUGCAGUGGCGGGACACCGCUGUCUCCUCCCAUCUGUGGCUGUCUGCUGUCUACCAGGAACGCUGUCCUUGUUCCUGUGCACAGGUCCCUUGACUGCCUGCCUGACAUUCCCUCAUGCUGAGACUAUGGUGAUGUGUUUCUAUCAAGAGCACUGCAGAGGUGAUAGUCCCACCCCAGGUGUCACACUAGGAGGGUCAUGAUGUCCCUAAGCCCAAGAACUGCUGAUGUGAUGCUGCAUCUUCUUGAUGGUAGUGUUUGCCAAGAUUUGCACAGGAAAUUAUUUCCCAGCUCUGCUAUGGAUACCAUGGGCUGUUACUUGGUAACUACCUAUGUAGACUACCUCACUUCCAACUUCUGCUCAGUCAGGGCCCUGUGCUCUACUGGAAUGUGCCUGUCACACUUCAGUCUCUACUGUGUGCCUAAGGGGAAUUUUCUCCUUCCGUGUUGCUAUCUCUACCUCAGUGGACCAGAAAUCCCCUCUGAAGAUAAGAGUACAAUUUGGUCAAAAGAGGAUACACAAAGCUCUGGCCAGUUCAAUGCCCAAGGCAGUUGCAGUGACAACAGGAGCAUAAGGGAAUGUCAAUUUCUGAGUGAAGACUGCAUUCCCAAGAAUAAAACAGGUUGUUUCAGGAGAAAGACACCAAUUGACCACAAGUGUGUAAGAAUUCAGAACACAUGUGCACAGAGCUUCGAAAUGUGCAAAAAACUGAUAAAAGGACAACUGAAUACAGAAUUAUAGUCAGACAUUUCAACGUCCUCGCAAUUUAAUAGAAAAAUUAAACACAAUUUUUAGGGAUCAAAAGAUUGCAUGUUAUGGACAAACUUUUACCAACUGCCACUGACUGAAGCAUCCCAUCCAAACAACAGUGCAGUAUUCACUGCUGUCAAGUGUACAUGGAGGAAAUGUUCCAACACAGUCACAAAAUAAACCCCAAUCAAUUUAAAAGAAUUUCA